UGCUGUAAGACCCGAGCCGUUAUUAUUGACAAUUCUACGACGAGUAAGACAAUUUAUACAAUUGUCUUACUCGUCUUACGUUGGUGAUGUGAGGGAUAUUUGAAUGCCAGGGACGCUACUUUUCUAAAAAUUAGCUGGAGUACCUAUGAUAAUAUCUACACUACAUUUUUUCCAAAGUCAAGUACUGACUAUAGCUAUAAUUCCUAUUCGGCAUUCGCCACUCGGUCAUGGUUUUUCUAAUGAGAACC
This is a non-coding RNA of Cinara cedri, 248 nucleotides long. The record is from the annotation of a GenBank genome assembly. Lineage: Eukaryota; Metazoa; Arthropoda; Insecta; Hemiptera; Aphididae.